Long non-coding RNA from Cynoglossus semilaevis (tongue sole), 4444 nucleotides. RefSeq lists it as uncharacterized. The transcript is spliced from 3 exons. The record is from RefSeq and is a predicted model, not a curated record. NCBI's taxonomy places the organism in Eukaryota, Metazoa, Chordata, Actinopteri, Pleuronectiformes, Cynoglossidae.
ACAGUCGACCUCUGGAGUGGCGGGCAGCAGAGGAAAAGCCGUCCCUUUCAGGUGCGUGCAGCCGUAGACAAACCCCGGAACAGAACUAACCAGUUUUCUAUGGCGUCAGCUAUCUUCCUGUUGUCUGGGCAGAACUUGUUUUUUUCCAUCUGCUCUUGGCGGCGGUGUUAGUCAGUUAAGCUCCUCAAGAAGACAGAGGCUGAAUUUGUAAAGGGCUUGGUUUACAUGUACCCUGACCCCCCUCCUCUGCCUCCUCCUCCCAUUUUCCCCCACAGGUGUAAUUUUCAGGUGGCAACCAAUGUCCUUAGCCUCUGGCACUCACAGGUGUGUCCCCCGCUCUGUCUUCAGCCAAUGGCAGUGAAGACCAAACCCAAAGCCUCAAAGCCCUCCCACCACGACUCCCACCCCAACGGUCCACUUACCUCCACCUCCUUGUCGGCCCCAAGGUACCUUGUUGUGUGUUUUUUUUUUAUGAUGUCAACCCAGGCUUCUGUGGGAACAACCUUGUCUGUUCCUUUUACUACUCAGACAACAGGUAAACCUCCAUCAUCCUCGAACGUCAAACACACCACUCUGUCAAAGAAGAGAACAUAAAUCAUCAAGCCCAAAAUGACAAAAAAAAAAACUUGGUGAAAUAAAACAUGUGUCUGUAGGUUAUUAUCAGUUGAAUGAACCUUUACCUGCUUCUCGACUAUAACCUGAAAUACCUGCCCUCUCUUUAAUACCAUCCCUCUCUUUGUGUUCACACACCUUUUUGUGCACUGACAAUAGUCAGACAGAGUUACAGGCAGAGCGACAGGUGAACAAGUGCGGGUGAGUAAAACUUAGGAAAGAUACACCAACAGUUUGAGGUCAGGCAGUGUAGGAAGGGGGAGGGGAGGGUAGCAACCAGGGGGUUAGUGGGGCUUCUGGACCCUGAGGGGCAACAGUCCCAGCCCUGGACAGGACUUUGGGUGGAUACUGGGUAAGGCAGCGACUCUCGGUCUUGAGGUGUAAUUGUCGGGAUUAGUCUUUCAACAAUGAGCACAAUGCUGGAGCUGUAUCCUGUUUCAGCAGGGGCGUGGCACACGGUGCAGCACGACUACACUGGCAAAAAUGGACGAGAGUUUCUGAGGUUUUUAGUCACAAAAUACACACAAUUCUGUUAGUUAUUUGUCUUAAAUCGUUAAACUACAAUAUAUUUGACGCCCAAUCUAAACAUCUUUUCCUUUAACUUUCAAAAAAUUGUGAAUACUAUUUCUUGUUAAGCAUCAACGUAAACUGCUCUGGAGAUAAUGUUCUGAUUAAGUUAAUUAAUGGAGGAACUUUCUAGUUUUACAUUAGAAAAAAUUUUCACAGUGACAGUUUCUUCUGUCCUCCUUACACAAACACAAAAAUGUAAUAUUACAUUCAAUAUUAAAUAUAGCCUACAUUUGCUUUUUUGCAGUUAAUUUUUAGCCUAAAUGAAGCUCAGCCUCUGCCCUCUUCACAGUUGGUAAAUCGUUGGGUCUGUGGUGGUUGCCUUGUUUAGGCCCUUCCAUUUGCAUACCAAAUGAGAUCUGGACCGAGGCACAGGGCCUGACCUGAACUCAUUUGGGUACUGAUGGUUAUCUGACCAACAGGUCACGCAAAGCAGGAUGAAGACAUAAGUUGCUAAAUUUAUCCGUUCUGUCCAAACUAUUGCUAAAAGUCCGUGUUUUUCUUUUCAACAUAUUGAACGAUCACAACACGGUGGAUUUCCUAAUUAUCUAAACCUAUGAUUAGCCUUUAUUAAUGCUGAUAUUAACUGGAAUGAAAAAAUAUACCUACUUUUAUGGAGUGGUUCUCUAUGUUCACCAGGUCACAGUGAUAGAAGCCAUGCUAUUCAAACAUAAUCACACGUUUAUAUACAACUGGCCUACAAUUAUAUAAUUAUAUAUUAAUAUCAAUGUCUGAAGACUUCUUUGUUAAGUUAUUAUUAAAAUAAUUAGACAUGGAGAAGUCAUUCUCAUUCUUCAUUUUAGAGAUCAGGAUGUAUAAAUUGUGCUUCUAGCACCUGCAGAGGACAAGAUGACUCAUUUAUUCAUCUCCUACAUUGUAAUCCUUUUCAUUGGCUGGAGCCAAUCUCACCAGUCAGUGACGAGGGCAGGGAACACCCUAGUCAGUUGGCCAGUCCAUCUCAGGGCUGACACACGUGAAUCUUGGUUAAUAAAAUCUCUGCAUACGUCAAACCAUUAAACAUGUUUUGUUUGUUUUUGGACACAUUUAACUCUAUUAUAUUAUUUUAUAUUUUCUUCCCAUCAGGCAGUAUUAGGUGUAAAUAUAAUGAUUUUCAGGUACAGUAUAAAAUCUUCACUGAGUCAGCUACUGACACUGAGCCAACUGAAUUGUAUCGACCAUAGCCAAUGUGUGAGGUGUUACAGGAUGAGCACUGACAGAUGACGUGUACAGUCCUGCUCACCGUAGGAACAGUUAGUGUCCUUAUCCAAUUCACAUACAACUCAACAGGUUUCUAUCCGUUUGUCUUUAUCGUUUGUCUUUACUUUGACAGCAGUCGUGUGGGUCACAGUCUGGAUCCAUGAUGUUACUUAUAAACUGGAAAGAGUUUUGGACUAGGAGUGUUUGUCAAAGCUGCACUGAUCUGCACUAUCUGGGCUUCCUGUAAAUGUGGCCGUGCAGUGUUUGCCCUCAGGUCUUUGACUGAAGGAAUGACGAGUCAUGUUCUUAUGACACUGGGCCAAGAGGAAGUCACAACAAACACGUGAGGUGACGUCGAGCCCGUAUUGGAUCCAAGCUACAUAGCAGUGACGUGGAUCUCAAGUCUUAGAUCCCUGGGUGGGACCAUUGUUUCUGUUCCAGAUCUGGAGGAUUUAAUCUAAAGCGACUCCAGCCUCGUUUCUCUUCACAAAGCCACAGAAUCAUCAAGGGAGCCGCGUUCACACAAGCAGUCCAGGAGCCACAGCCGUGCUCUGACUUGCCGCCUGCACCAGUGCUGGGUAAUUGGCCCCUAAAGGACUUAGAGCGGGAUGGUGUGCAUGGAUGGCGCAGUUGUAUCCGAUAAUCUCCAACAGGGUAUGUUGCCAUAGAGAAACUGAGUGAGGCAUACCAAUUAUUAGUGCAUCUUAUUCCACAACACACCUGUUUGGCUCAUCUGCUGGGCUGGAGCCAAGCCACUGCUGUGAUGAGUUUGACUUCAGAGGAGAGCGACAAGAUCAAUGCAGCAACAGUCUGUCAUACAAUACUUUUAUCUGGUAACCUCACAAGUUUUUGGGGAUAUUUUUCUGUGAUGAUUUUCUUGCGAUUAAUAAAUUACAUCUAACAGCAACAACAGAAUCAUCACAGUUAUCCUGUGGUUGAAGGGCCUCAUGUACAAACUGAUAUUACACAUCAGAGAAAACUACAAUUUCUACAAUCUACAAAAAGACAAAAAGAUGAAAAUACAACAGUCAAGGCUGCAUUUCAGCAGGUAUUGAGCAAGUAUAUAACCUGUAAUCCUAUAAUCUCUACACAUACAGUAUUAUAAAUGAAUUUGUGUUUAGUUUAUUUAUAGGGGGGCAGUGCAAUUUCAUAAAACACAUGAUUACACAUGGUUAAAAAGCCAAAACUAGCCAGAAGGCUAGUUUUCAUCUGUAGUAGUGUGACAUAAUGAUCUACGGUUUAUUGGUUAAUAAAAAGACGGUACUUGUGAUGGUUGAUCACGGUGAUUGUGGUUGUAGCAGACGUCAAAAACAACAGUGGACGUAAAAUAUAAGUAGUGCUAGAGUAGAUACAGUACUAGAGUAGAACUAGAUAAGUAAUACCACAUUUUGACAGAUACUUGGGCGGACUGAGAGAGAAGGAAACAAAGUGAACACAGAGGGCUGGGGUAAAGUUAAUGAUUUGAUAACUGGUCAUAAAGUAGAGUACAUUACCUAACCUACCACUUAGUCCAACCCACAUCACCAAUCUUAAUCCUCGACCUAAUUCAAAACUGACCCUUGUUCUAAUCCUAACUCUUGCUCGCUUUUUCUAAGACAGAGCAUUGACUAACAUUAGUUAGAACAGCCUAAUCUAACCCUGCUAGGUUUAAGUCCUCAACAUCAACACCUGUCUUUCAACAAUCAGUAACAAUUCCACCACAAAAAGUGGCAUAUAAAAAUAUAAAAGCAUAUUCAGCUGCCGAUCUAUACACAGUGUACUUCUUACAUCGUCUACUCAAACUUAACAACACAAUCAAAUACUAAAUACUAUCCUUGAAUUUUCUAGUAUUCCUAAAAAUACCCUGGUAGUUAAUGAGGAAGUGUAUUAUUUCUCACAGGAUGAAAAUGUCCCCACAAUUAUAGUUUGGUACAAAAACCCAGUCCUCAGACCCCAAAGUGACCCUUACCUGCCAAUGAUCUACAAACUAUUGUUGGGUAACUGAGCUGUUUCCCUCCUUACGUCUUGUACACAAACAGUAACACACACACACUCUCACACACACACACACACACACGCACACACACAC